RNAcentral lists this ribosomal RNA (428 nucleotides) under uncultured bacterium. RNAcentral describes it as "partial 16S ribosomal RNA". It matches the Rfam family "Bacterial small subunit ribosomal RNA", at positions 354 to 796 of the family's 1533-position model. The record is from RNAcentral.
GUGGGGAAUAUUGGGCAAUGGGGGAAACCCUGACCCAGCAACGCCGCGUGAGGGAAGAAGGUUUUCGGAUUGUAAACCUCUGUCCUUGGUGACGAAGGAAGUGACGGUAGCCAAGGAGGAAGCCCCGGCUAACUACGUGCCAGCAGCCGCGGUAAUACGUAGGGGGCAAGCGUUGUCCGGAAUGACUGGGCGUAAAGGGCGUGUAGGCGGCCGAUUAAGUCUGGAGUGAAAGUCCUGCUUUCAAGGUGGGAAUUGCUUGGGAGACUGGUUGGCUUGAGUGCGGAAGAGGUAAGUGGAAUUCCCAGUGUAGCGGUGAAAUGCGUAGAGAUUGGGAGGAACACCAGUGGCGAAGGCGACUUACUGGGCCGUAACUGACGCUGAGGCGCGAAAGCGUGGGGAGCGAACAGGAUUAGAUACCCUGGUAGUCC